This 118-nucleotide small RNA is filed under the name Salmonella enterica subsp. enterica. RNAcentral describes it as "RtT RNA". It matches the Rfam family "RtT RNA". From Rfam's summary of the family: This family represents a bacterial cis-regulatory element known as RtT RNA. The exact function of RtT is unknown although it is thought that it may be involved in changing the cellular response in relation to amino acid starvation. Lineage: Bacteria; Pseudomonadati; Pseudomonadota; Gammaproteobacteria; Enterobacterales; Enterobacteriaceae. The record is from RNAcentral.
UGUAUCUGAAGCCUGACGAGGAUGAGAACCUCCGGGGGCAAGAGGUUCGACCCGAGCGAAGCGAGAGAACGUUGCGUCAGCAACGGCCCGCAGGGCGAGUCAUCCUCUAUCACCGGCA